AUGGCCGUCGACGCCGCCACCGCCCCCUCCGAGCUCGGCAGCAGCAUCCGCGGCGAGGGGGAGGUCGCGGCCAAGCCGCUCCCCUCCGCCGCUGCACCGGCGGCGCGGGAGAGCCUCGAGGAGCUGGACCGGAGGUACGCUCCGUACGCGCGGCGGGACGCGUACGGGCCCAUGGGCCGCGGCCCCCUGGGGGCGGCGGAGGCGGCGCGGAUGGCCGUGGCCGCGGCCGUGCUCCUCCCGCUCCGGGUCGUGGCCGGCGUGCUCGUGCUCGUCGCCUACUACCUCGUGUGCCGCGUGUGCACGCUGUGGGUGGAGGAGGAGCGGGCGGGGGGCGAGGGGGAGGGCUACGCGCGGCUCGAGGGGUGGAGGCGGGCGUGGGUCGUGCGAUGCGGCCGCUUGCUCUCACGUGCCAUGCUCUUCGUCUUUGGCUUCUACUGGAUCCGCGAGCACGACCGCCGCUUCCCCGAUGCCGAGGGCAAGGAUCUGGGCCAGUCUGAAUUAUUGGAAAGACCAGGGGCAAUUGUAUCUAAUCAUGUAUCAUAUGUGGAUAUUCUUUAUCACAUGUCAUCUUCUCUUCCAAGUUUUGUUGCUAAGAGAUCAGUGGCCAGAUUGCCCCUAGUUGGUCUCAUAAGCAAAUGCAUUGGUUGUAUUUUUGUUCAGCGAGAGUCUAAAACUUCAGAUUUCAAAGGUGUUUCAGGUGCUGUAACUGAAAGAAUCCAGCGAGCUCAUCGACAAAAGAAUUCUCCGAUGAUGUUGCUCUUUCCUGAGGGCACAACUACAAACGGGGAUUAUCUCCUUCCAUUCAAGACAGGGGCCUUUCUCGCAAGAGCACCAGUACAACCUGUCAUUUUAAGAUACCCUUACAAGAGAUUCAGUCCAGCAUGGGACUCCAUGGAUGGGGCACGCCAUGUAUUUCUGCUCCUUUGUCAGUUUGUGAAUCAUCUAGAGGUUGUGCAUUUGCCUGUGUACUAUCCUUCUGAGCAAGAAAAAGAUGAUCCGAAGCUCUACGCAGAUAAUGUACGGAAAUUAAUGGCAGUGGAGGGAAACUUGAUUCUUUCAGAUCUUGGGUUAGCGGAGAAGCGAGUGUACCAUGCAGCCCUGAAUGGUAAUAAUAGUCUGCCUCGUGCCUUACACAAGAAAGAUGAUUGA
RNAcentral lists this ribosomal RNA (1149 nucleotides) under Triticum aestivum (bread wheat). RNAcentral's name for it is "partial small subunit ribosomal RNA". The record is from RNAcentral. Lineage: Eukaryota; Viridiplantae; Streptophyta; Magnoliopsida; Poales; Poaceae.